AUGGGCGCAAGCCUGAUGCAGCCAUGCCGCGUGUGUGAAGAAGGCCUUCGGGUUGUAAAGCACUUUCAGUCGUGAGGAAGGUAGUGUAGUUAAUAGCUGCAUUAUUUGACGUUAGCGACAGAAGAAGCACCGGCUAACUCCGUGCCAGCAGCCGCGGUAAUACGGAGGGUGCGAGCGUUAAUCGGAAUUACUGGGCGUAAAGCGCAUGCAGGUGGUUUGUUAAGUCAGAUGUGAAAGCCCGGGGCUCAACCUCGGAAUAGCAUUUGAAACUGGCAGACUAGAGUACUGUAGAGGGGGGUAGAAUUUCAGGUGUAGCGGUGAAAUGCGUAGAGAUCUGAAGGAAUACCGGUGGCGAAGGCGGCCCCCUGGACAGAUACUGACACUCAGAUGCGAAAGCGUGGGGAGCAAACAGGAUUAGAUACCCUGGUAGUCCACGCCGUAAACGAUGUCUACUUGGAGGUUGUGGCCUUGAGCCGUGGCUUUCGGAGCUAACGCGUUAAGUAGACCGCCUGG
RNAcentral lists this ribosomal RNA (513 nucleotides) under Vibrio sp. 7Bf1S25. RNAcentral's name for it is "bacterial SSU rRNA". It matches the Rfam family "Bacterial small subunit ribosomal RNA", at positions 371 to 876 of the family's 1533-position model. Lineage: Bacteria; Pseudomonadati; Pseudomonadota; Gammaproteobacteria; Vibrionales; Vibrionaceae. The record is from RNAcentral. RNAcentral also lists the same sequence under 2 other names.